GCCCUAUGGGUUGUAAACUUCUUUUGUAUAGGGAUAAACCUACUCUCGUGAGGGUAGCUGAAGGUACUAUACGAAUAAGCACCGGCUAACUCCGUGCCAGCAGCCGCGGUAAUACGGAGGGUGCAAGCGUUAUCCGGAUUUAUUGGGUUUAAAGGGUCCGUAGGCGGAUCUGUAAGUCAGUGGUGAAAUCUCACAGCUUAACUGUGAAACUGCCAUUGAUACUGCAGGUCUUGAGUGUUGUUGAAGUAGCUGGAAUAAGUAGUGUAGCGGUGAAAUGCAUAGAUAUUACUUANAACACCAAUUGCGAAGGCAGGUUACUAAGCAACAACUGACGCUGAUGGACGAAAGCGUGGGGAGCGAACAGGAUUANAUACCCUGGUAGUCCACGCCGUAAACGAUGCUAACUCGUUUUUGGUUUUUCGGAAUCAGAGACUAAGCGAAAGUGAUAAGUUAGCCACCUGGGGAGUACGUUCGCAAGAAUGA
This 483-nucleotide ribosomal RNA is filed under the name uncultured Chryseobacterium sp. RNAcentral describes it as "bacterial SSU rRNA". It matches the Rfam family "Bacterial small subunit ribosomal RNA", at positions 413 to 897 of the family's 1533-position model. The record is from RNAcentral. Lineage: Bacteria; Pseudomonadati; Bacteroidota; Flavobacteriia; Flavobacteriales; Weeksellaceae.